This 117-nucleotide ribosomal RNA is filed under the name uncultured bacterium. Its description in RNAcentral is "partial 16S ribosomal RNA". It matches the Rfam family "Bacterial small subunit ribosomal RNA", at positions 1369 to 1482 of the family's 1533-position model. The record is from RNAcentral.
CGUUCCCGGGCCUUGUACACACCGCCCGUCACACCACGAAAGUCGGCAACACCCGAAGUCAGUGGCCCAACCCGCAAGGGGGGGGAGCUGCCGAAGGUGGGGUUGGUGAUUGGGGUG